RNAcentral lists this unclassified non-coding RNA (331 nucleotides) under Hevea brasiliensis (rubber tree). Lineage: Eukaryota; Viridiplantae; Streptophyta; Magnoliopsida; Malpighiales; Euphorbiaceae. The record is from RNAcentral.
GCAAAUUCAUCCUGCAUGAAGAAGGGAAAAAGGAGCAAGAAGCAGUGAAAUAGUUUGAAAAUGUUUGAUUUCAACAGCAGAUGGCACAGCAUAAAUCAUACAUUUGCUCCUUGGCAUAUAUUUAAAAUGUCAUCCAUGAGGAGAGCUCUAUUGAUAUAUAAUCUCUAACAUAACCUUCCUUUUACACAAAUGGGGAUGACAAAGUAAUGGCAAUCACAGGGUAAUUUGGUUAGUCAUUAGUAUUUUUUUUUCAGUGUUAUGUCAAUUGGACAGCAACUAGGUUACUAAUCCAUCCAAAUUUACCACUCAUUUAGCAGCUGAUAUGGCAAAG